RNAcentral lists this non-coding RNA (95 nucleotides) under Escherichia coli. RNAcentral describes it as "partial 23S ribosomal RNA". It matches the Rfam family "Bacterial large subunit ribosomal RNA", at positions 2831 to 2925 of the family's 2925-position model. Lineage: Bacteria; Pseudomonadati; Pseudomonadota; Gammaproteobacteria; Enterobacterales; Enterobacteriaceae. The record is from RNAcentral. RNAcentral also lists the same sequence under 71 other names.
AGGAACGUUGAAGACGACGACGUUGAUAGGCCGGGUGUGUAAGCGCAGCGAUGCGUUGAGCUAACCGGUACUAAUGAACCGUGAGGCUUAACCUU